CAACCUCGCACUCAAGGUCCGUAAGAUCAAGGAAGUGAUUGUGGACUUCAGGAAGGUCAGAUUCACUUCCUCGGGUCAAACUCUGAGUUGUCAUUGCAGUCUUAGUUCAAUAAAGUGCAAUGAUUCUAACACUUGGAAUUGGAAAUUUUAUCAACGCUCGAUUAGUUCCGUCUGUUACUCCCUGUGAGUACAAUGCAAUCGCC
Hypanus sabinus (Atlantic stingray) is the source of this 203-nucleotide long non-coding RNA. RefSeq lists it as uncharacterized. The transcript is spliced from 3 exons. The record is from RefSeq and is a predicted model, not a curated record. NCBI's taxonomy places the organism in Eukaryota, Metazoa, Chordata, Chondrichthyes, Myliobatiformes, Dasyatidae.